UGCACUCCAGCCUGGGCUGCAGAACAAGACUCCUUUCAAAAAAAAAAAAAAGGAAAACUUUUUUUCACAAAUGCAUCAAACUGUUUGGAAUGACAAGAUUGAGUGAUUUCUGAAGGCUUCAUUUUAUAAUGCCCGAAAGAACAACACUUUGUUCCCCAAUUACAGGCUUCUGUUCUGUCUUUGUCCUGCAGCUGCACAGUGGGGCAAGACUUGGGUUUGGUUUUGUUGCUGCUUUGUUGCUUCUUCAUUUGACUGUUUCCCCAUGAGUCUUAUAAUGAAUUAUGUUCUCCUCUGACAUUGUUCCUCACCUAAGAAAAUCCACAGCUGUCUCUUCCUUGAGGCCUGAAGUCAACAACAUUACAACCUCAUUUCCCUUUUAUCCACCUCCUUUUCCCAUCUGGGUGGACACCCCAGCCAACUAGUGAUUCAGUGUUAUCAGUUCAGACAGACCAGUUUAGGAGCUACACUCCUAUAUCAUUUGCUUUGUAAUUUGUGAAGAGGCACAUAGCAUAAAGAGAGCUCUUCUAGCUGCAAUGCACAUGCAAGAAUUUUUGCUUUUGAUUAUAGCCUAAUCUUUAUAUCAUCCUGCUGGAGACAAAAUAGCAGCUGCAGUGUUGAAUGAAACUCUGCCAUUUUAGUGGUUUUAGGUCAUUUGGGGAAUGGGAGUAAAGACCUGUAUUCUGUGGCAAGAAUUAAUUUUACCAUCAGAAAUACUAGCUAGUGUGUGAGCAUGGGAGAGGGAUGGGGACAGGGUCGAAUAAUUCUGUGCCUAAUAGCUAAUUCAAGUAACUGGGGUUUUUAGGUAAAAAGUCAUAAUAGUAAUAUAUAUAUGUAUAUAUAUGUGAAUAUAUGUGUAUAUAUGUAUGUAUAUAUGUUGCAUUUUAAUACAAAGACAUUAAGAAUUUUAUUUCAUUUCCUGAAAUGUUCACAUGUCCAGUUUUAUUCUGAGAAUAACUCAACAGAUGUCUAAAUUGUUGAUACUCUCCUAGGUUCCUCAUAGAAUAUUAAAUUAAAAUUCAAUAGAUUAGUAUUCAUGCCUGAAGUCCUAGGAAAUAUAAUUUUGUUUAUUGGCAGCCCUAGUCAAACAUGCUAGAAGACAGAAUAUUUAUAAUUCACUGGUUUUAUUGACAUUCACUCAAAUUCUGUUGUUUUUAAAGAUCAAGUUAAAGACUACACAGACCUUCAAAACUUAGCAUAGCACAACUGGGAUAUCUCUCAAAUAAAAUAGGCAUCAACAAGGGAUAAGCAACUAACCACUUAAUGUAAGACUUUAUGCUUGCUUUUCCAGUUAUAUUUCUGAAUUUUGCAAACUAAUUUGUGUCCUUUUUUUGAAUAAAUUUCAUUUCUAUAGAGAUGUCUAAAAAUUAUUUAGCAGACUACAUUAAAAGAGAGUGGAGCUAACUUCUUAACAUAGGUUAAUAUACUCAGUGCAACAAGCUGUGGACCAAGAAAUCUUCAUUUUCUAGCAAAAUCAUUUGACUUUGUGAUUAUUUUAAACUGUUUAUACUUAUUGCCAGGUUUAGUGACCAGAAACCAAAUGUUAAAAUCAUUCUUGGAUUCAAUUUACAUUUUAAAUAAUACCUACAAUACAAGUUCCCUUUUAAGAACUAAGGUCUCUAACCUGUUUCUGGUUGAGGUCAUAGUAUAAAUUUCUCCUCUUCAGGCCUUCUAGUGUCUUUCUAGACUUUCCUUUCUCCCUGUGUCUCCCACAGGCUUCCUUUCUCACCUGCCUCUACUUGUCAGUCUUCAAAUCAGAGAAAAUCAGGAUCAAUAUCUGCUUUGGGAAAGACAGGAGAUAGAUCAGUCGAGGAGAUCAACUGCAUGGUUACCCAAGUGAGCAAUUAAUAGGGUAAAAUUCCCAACUGCUUUAAGAAAUCACUGCUUUUUGAGAGUCAAACACAUCAGGUGCAUAUUUUUCAGUACUGUCCACUUUGGUGCAAACUUCAGGAUAUGGUGGUAGAUAUUUGUUGACUUCUGUCAAUAGAAAUUUAGCCACAGUCAAUAUGGGGAAAAUUGACUAAAUUACAUGUUUCAUUCAUUCAUUCAACAGCAAAUACAUUAAAGCCCGCUAUGUAUCAGACAUGCUUUGAGGCUUGAAACACAAGAUUCACAACAGAGGAUAAAACUAGAGAAAGAUAUUCUAGGUAAGAUCAACAGGAAGAACAAAGGUCUCCCAGCAAAAAUGCAUAAGCAUAAUGUUGUUUGACUGAUACAUGAAAUCUCCAUAUGAUUUUGAGGUGGUGAAAGUUCUAUUCCUGAUGGCCCCAAAUUCCUGCCCUAUCACCUGUUCUUCCUCUACGCCACACUUGCGCCUUGGUAACAGAACAUUCAAUGGGACUACAGUGAAAUUUGGGAGUCAUUGACAUAGCCAGCAAUGGAUACAAUGACUGUUGGAACUAUAUACAUCUCCUUACUGUUGGGAAAAGUGAGAAUUCCUCACCAGCAAGAAGGAUAGUUGUAUCUUAUAAGGGUGGAAAUACAGAGUUAUUUACUUGUUGUAUGAAAGUUGAAAUGUGUGUAAAAGGGUGUAUGGAAUCUGAGUUGUCAAAAGAAUAAACAAUGACAUUAAUUUAUUGCUUAUCUCAUAAUCGAUUAUGCAUUAUCUCCUGUGUAAUAAUGGAGCCAGUCCUCCAGAUAUUUCUCCUUCACAGUGAGCAUUAUGAUAUAAGCUUUAUCAGUAGAGGGUGUGGAGGGAUAUUGCUUCUGGGGUGCUGCUGUGUUGUAGUCUUCCUGCUCCUACCACAGCGCUUCCAGAAGUAGACAUGGAAAAAAUCCAGUGGUGCUCCACUGCAGCUGCUUGUCCAGAGCUUGUAGGUCCUUGCAAGCCCACAUUCCUUACCCUAGCCUAGUGGCCACCUCACUGUGGCCCUCUCCACAGUCACCACAUGCUCUAUGUUUUACAGCACCCUGCUAGGAAGUGAUCUCUCAGUACCCUAAUUCAGUAUUCUAAUGCACACUGCUUAGAGUAUCUUCUGGGACCUUCUGAGAAAUUGAUCUGACUGGAGAGUUUUCCAGCUUUACUAAUAAAUCCACUCUAGAAUGUUCUUUUUUCUGAGCCUUUUGUUCACUUAUUCUAUAGUCAUAUGGCCAUAUCGAUUCUGGCAUUUUCACUUCACUUAGUGUGUGCCAUCACUCUUUCUAAGCUUUCAAGAGCCACUCUAACCACUGUUAGCACCACCUCUAAGGGCCUUUCUAGGGUGUUAAGUCCUUUAAUACUAUAGGAGAGUACACUCAUAUCAAUAAACUCUCUCUUAUCCAACCCUAUAUUCCAUCUCGCUUGACCUACAACCCUCAAGAUCUAGUUCUCUACAAUAUUUCCAGUUCCUGCCAGGAAGUACUGGUCAAAUUCUACAGCCCCUUCAACGUAUAGUCUUAUCUUCCCCUAGCAGGCCCAACACAUGGCCCAAUGGACUUUGCUGGGAUUUGACCCUUCCUUUUUAUUGGUCUGGUUUCCAGGAAAGCAUAACUGAAGCUUAUCUUGUAUAGCAUCUACCUAAUUGGAGGCCUCUGCAUUAUCUUUAAAUAAAGAAGGGGCCACUAUCUUCUAACAAGUGUGAGUGGGUCAUUUCUAUAUGUCCAGUGCACUCAGGAGAAUCUGAGAGUUCAAGGUUCUCAAAUGCAUCUACCUAUACCUAUCCCUAUCCCAUUUUGCAGUGUCUCACUCUUUCCCUAGUAGAACUUGGGCCUAGAAAGCCGGCUGUGUUAGAGAAUUUAAUCUUCUCUUAAGUUCCACUACUAAGUGGAUCUAAAGCCUGAGCCUGAUCUUGAGUCUGAUCUUCCAGCCACAGGAGAUACCUUAAGUACCGCCAAAGAGUUAUCUCAUGCCUGCACAUUUCGUCAUGAAUUGAUGACUUACCACCCAGAGCCUGUUAUUAUAUCUCUUCAAUGAGUCAUUGGUACUCAGCAUCAACCACCCAAUCCCAUGGUUCUUAUGGGUGUCAUUUCCUUCACAUGUCUCUAGCACUAUAAAAAUUGCAUCAGCCAGUUCAUUUUCUUCCACCAAAAUUUUGUUCAAGUUCGCCACCAGUGAGAGUUUUAACUACACUGCCACAGCAUCCCUGGGGCCAUUUGUUCUCCAUCCCAUCCCCACUAGUGAUGAGAUCCUCAUUGCCAGCCAGCCAAUGAAUGAUCUGUCUCCAGAAGCCCAUUUAGAGGCUGCUUACUAGAACCACUUCUGAUAGUUACAUUGGUUCUCUGGCGAGAGAUACCAAAUGAAUAGUGUUGGGGUGAAGGAGUGGGCUCUCAGAGAUAUAAUUUAAAGGAAGAGAGGAGGGCAGGAUUGGGUAAAAGAGAAACUGAUUUAUAACUGAGGCCUCAGCUAAUCCUAUGGAGAAUUUUGGAGCUGAAAUGUCCUUCGCUGUGUCUCAAAUUGAGUCCCAAGGAGGCUGGGCCUUUUUCUCCCUACCUCAGCAUACUGGCUGUGAGCCACCUUUGCCAGGGGGUGUAACUUUGGGCAAGGCCAAUCCCAGAGACUGAGGGUGAAUCCAAUGAGGAAUGCAGCUGUGAGCCAUCAAUAGCUGAUAGUCCCAGAAGUCAGGGACUGGGUGAAUGAGAUCUAAAGAGGAGAUCUUGGGGGAGCACCACAGUAUUUACUACGCCACCAGCUGGUGAGCCAGAUCCUACUAACAUGCGCCUAGCCUGGAUCAGAAUUCAUUCCAGAACAGGCCAGUAGGUUUAACGUCUUCAGUGCCUGCAAAGGAGAUUAGCUGGGUAUAGAAGGGACUGACCACUUGCCUCUAUUCCAAAAUAAAAACUUAUUGAAAAGGAGUCAUUUUAGUUCAUUUAAUUAAAUUACCAUUUUUAUGGGCAUGGCUUUUAUAUUCUUCCCUUUGUUCCUGCAGUUUGGAAUGAAAGAGGAAUGAAAAGAAGGAGGGAAGUUCGUUGGUUUAUUGAGCACUCGGGUGUCAGGCCUUAACCCUUGGCAACUCUGCCCUUUUGCAGAUGAAACUGAAGGUGGAGACAAGCACCAGGCUUGCAGUGUGAAUUACUUCCCUCUUGUCACAAUUUGGUGAUUAAUCAGCCGUGACUGCAGAAUAAAAUGGAAAGUAACUACGGGUAAACAUGACACUCACAUUAAAUCAAGUUAGUUCAUCCUGAUUAACAUGGCUUCCCUCGGAAAUAAAUAAAUUAGUAGUCAUCUCUGGUUUAAAUUGCGUUCAAAAGAAAGGAGGGCUGAGGGAUGCUACAGCCACUCUGGAAAUUAUUGCUUACAUCCCUGAAACAGAAAAAAUAUCUUUUGACCCUGCAAUUCUACCCUGACCAUCCACAGCAGAGGGCAAGCUGAAGUUUGUUUACAGCUGAGGCGUGAGUCCUCCCAACCCACAUUCAGAAUGACUGUCCUGCUGGUCUGCAGAAUCCAAGGUGAUACGAAGCUGACUGCUCUGAAUGUCUGUUCUCUCUUCCUGAUGUGAAUGGCUCCCUACAGGGCGGGGGUGCAGUGAGUGAAGCACUCAUCUCUGGUGCUAAAUUUAAGUGGUCACCAAAACACUCAGGAAUCCUGACAAAUAUUUUUGAAAGUCAAAAGUAAGGCAAAAAAAAAGAUAUGAUGAACAAGAUAUCUAAACUUUAAAUAAAGACAAAAUCAAUUUAUUGAUUUUAACUUUUGCCUUAAGUUCCAACCUAGUUCAUUACUGCACUGCUGAAGGGGAAGAGUAUAAUUUCAAGGUAUUGGCUUAAAUGGACUUUCUAUCUUAAGUUAUGGCCUCUAGGGCAAUGGUUCUACAACUUUAGUGUACACCAGAGUCACCUGGAAAGCUUGUGAAAAGACAAGAGCUCAACCCCAAAUCUAGAAUUUUGAUUUAUUGAAAAUGAGAUGGGGCCUAAGAAUUUGCAUUGCUAACAAGUUCUAGGCAAUAAGGCUGUUGCUGAUGCAGUGCUAUGGUCUGAAUGUUGGUGCCCCUCCACAUUCAUAUGUUGAAACCUAACCCCCAACAAUAGUUUUAAGACAUGGGGCCUUUAGGAGGUGCUUAAGUCAGUAGGGCAGAGACCUCGUGAAUGGGAUUGGUGCUCUUAUAAAAGAAGUUGAAGGAAGCUGCCUUGCCCCUUCUGAUGUGUGAAGACUCAGAACGAAGUACCAUCUGUGAAGCAGAGAGUGAGCCUCCACCAGACACUGAAUCUGUUGGUAUCCUGAUCUUGAACUUUCCAGCUUCCAGAACUGUGAGAAAUUAAGUUUCUAUUUUUUAUAAAUGACCCAGUCUAAGGUAUUUUGUUAUAGCAGCCCAAACAGACUAAGACAUGCAGGAGCCACAACUUAAGAACCACUGUAGAGACAGCUGUAUAAAUAGUUAGCCAGUAAAUCCCAAAG
This 6304-nucleotide long non-coding RNA is filed under the name Homo sapiens (human). RNAcentral describes it as "HSALNT0364633". Lineage: Eukaryota; Metazoa; Chordata; Mammalia; Primates; Hominidae. The record is from RNAcentral.